Molecule: ribosomal RNA, 400 nt
Filed under: uncultured bacterium
Lineage: Bacteria
Description: bacterial SSU rRNA
Rfam family: Bacterial small subunit ribosomal RNA
Source: RNAcentral
GAGGAAUAUUGGGCAAUGGGGGCAACCCUGACCCAGCCAUGCCGCGUGAGUGAAGAAGGUUUUCGAAUUGUAAAGCUCUUUCGGAUGUGAAGAUAAUGACGGUAGCAUCUAAAGAAGCCCCGGCAAACUUCGUGCCAGCAGCCGCGGUAAUACGAAGGGGGCAAGCGUUGUUCGGAAUUACUGGGCGUAAAGGGAGUGUAGGUGGACGUGUAAGAUAGCGGUGAAAUGCCGGGGCUCAACCUCGGAAUUGCCAUUAUAACUAUGCGUCUAGAAUUAUAGAGAGGAUAGUGGAAUACCCAGUGUAGAGGUGAAAUUCGUAGAUAUUGGGUAGAACACCGGUGGCGAAGGCGACUAUCUGGCUAUAUAUUGACACUGAGGCUCGAAAGCAUGGGGAUCAAAC